GAUGAAGAACGUAGUGAAAUGCGAUACUUGGUGUGAAUUGCAGAAUCCCGUGAACCAUCGAGUCUUUGAACGCAAGUUGCGCCCGAAGCCGUCAGGCCGAGGGCACGCCUGCCUGGGCGUCACACGCCGUUGCCCCCCCCCCAGCGCCUCCCUCGGGAGCGUCGGGGGGGGCGGACGAUGGCCUCCCGUGCGACACCCCGUGCGGUUGGCACAAAUGCCGGGUCCUCGGCGACGAACGCCACGACAAUCGGUGGUUGUCAAACCUCGGUUGCCCGUUGUGCGCCUUCGUCGCGCCACGAGCGGCCCGCGAUAGCGAACGGCUCCGUUCCGGCGGAGCUUUCAACGCGACCCCAGGUCAGGCGGGGUUACCCGCUGAAUUUAAGCAUAUCAAUAAGCGGAGGA
RNAcentral lists this unclassified non-coding RNA (402 nucleotides) under soil metagenome. RNAcentral's name for it is "partial contains 5.8S ribosomal RNA, internal transcribed spacer 2, and large subunit ribosomal RNA". The stretch from base 1 to 122 matches the Rfam family "5.8S ribosomal RNA", at positions 35 to 154 of the family's 154-position model. The record is from RNAcentral.